Non-coding RNA from Stegodyphus mimosarum, 73 nucleotides. The record is from Rfam. Lineage: Eukaryota; Metazoa; Arthropoda; Arachnida; Araneae; Eresidae.
GCCUUCAUGGUGUAGUGGUCAGCACGCUGGGCGCCUAUUGGAGAGGACCGUGGUUCGAAUCCCGGCGAGGGCA